This is a long non-coding RNA of Esox lucius (northern pike), 431 nucleotides long. RefSeq lists it as uncharacterized. The transcript has 4 exons. The record is from RefSeq and is a predicted model, not a curated record. NCBI's taxonomy places the organism in Eukaryota, Metazoa, Chordata, Actinopteri, Esociformes, Esocidae.
CAGUGACAGAUCUCGUGGUGCUCCCCCUUGGAUGUUUCUGGCGGGAGUCUGUAAAGUAUCGGAGCAGGGCCGUAGGAUGAUUUGAGAAGUGGCCGUUGCCCUGGCGUGUCUUGCGUCGUCUCUCCUGUGUAUUACCCGAAAGGCACACAUCCAAGCCUUAGCUUUCCACUCAACUCACAGAUCCUGCACCAGAGCCAAGCGCAGUAGGCUAGUCAAGACUAAGUUGCUAGACUGACCCCCAAAGUCAGGCCGUCCAAAAAAAAAAGGUGCUGGGAUUCAUUGUUUCGAGAAGGAAUACGGCGUCCUGUUCACUAACACUGGAGGAACAAAAGGCAUGUUUUGAAUCUGUGAGGGAGAUGGCGGAAAGAGCAAAAACAGAGCAUGCAGAAUCUCACCUAUUUUGUGAUAUACCCAAGAGAGACAAAAAAAAA